Molecule: unclassified non-coding RNA, 304 nt
Filed under: uncultured Thielavia
Lineage: Eukaryota; Fungi; Ascomycota; Sordariomycetes; Sordariales; Chaetomiaceae
Description: sequence contains ITS1
Rfam family: 5.8S ribosomal RNA (bases 1-105)
Source: RNAcentral
GAAAUGCGAUAAGUUCUGUGAAUUGCUGAAUUCAGUGAAUCAUCGAAACUUUGAACGCACAUUGCGCCCGCAUGUAUUCUGGCGGGCUUGCCUGUUCGAGCGUCAUUUCAACCAUCAAGCCCCCGGGCCUGUGUUGGGGACCUGCGGCCGCCGCAGGCCCCGAAAAGCAGUGGCGGGCUCGCUGUCACCCCGAGCGUAGUAGUAAUCACCUCGCCCAGGGCGUGCUGUGGGCGCCGGCCGCUAAAAACCAACAUACCCCCCAAAGGUUGACCUCGGAUCAGGUAGGAAUACCCGCUUAACUUAA